CUCAAAACCUAGUGAGGAAAUAAAAUGUCUUAUCCCCUCUUGCUUCUCAAUAAGCCACCUCACACACAAAGUUUGCAGAUAAAUGCUGCUGACACGUUUCACAUAUUGACGCUCUUUUGGACAUCUAAACGCAAUAUCCAAUGCCGUCUCUGUGUAGUUCAUUCUUUCUUAAUGUCUUUCAAAGCGGGAGCAGACAGAUUGCUUCGCUGUUUCCCAAUUCAGCAUGGAAAGUAUGCGUUUAGUCAGGUUUAAAGGGGAACGGUCACUUUACAGGAUUUUAAUACUGUAUUUACUUAUCAAUAUACUUAACUAUUACGUAUUUGUGAGGUGUGAAAAAUAAAAUGUUAUGUAGAAUUUCACAUUUCCUUGUCCUGCAACUGGGUGUUUACAUCUUAGCUCACUGACAAUCAUUGUUAUAAGUUUUGUCUGCCACAUUUUUAUUCAUUUUUGAGAUUUCU
Molecule: non-coding RNA, 458 nt
Organism: Pelobates cultripes (western spadefoot toad)
Lineage: Eukaryota; Metazoa; Chordata; Amphibia; Anura; Pelobatidae
Source: the annotation of a GenBank genome assembly